GCUGUGUUGACACGCUCUGCACCUUGCUCCUGCCCUCACUUUUCACUCUUCUUAUCCCCCCGAUCCCUCGAUCAUUCCUGACACCUUCUGAGUUCCUGUAUUUCAUCAUCCAGCCCUGCAGGAUGCUCCCCUUUGUUCUGAGGAAGGCUGUCCCAGACAGAGAGGAGGAGAUGGAGCUUGAUACAGAGAUUGAUAUGGAGGAGGAGAUGGAAAUAGAUGGAGAAGACCCUGGAGAGGAAGAGAUGGAGGUGGUUGUGAAGGUGGAAGAGGAAAUGGAUGUGGAUAUGGAAGAGUCCAUUGUGGACAUGGAUAUUGAUUAAAAAGGUGCAAUGGACAGCACAGACAGAGACACCACCCUUGUGUAUAUAUGUUCUACAGUUUGUUGUUGUUGUUCUUUAGAAUGUCGAUUGUAGGGCUAUUUUUGACAUCUGUAAAUACGUUUCCCAUAGUUUUGCUAGGUAGGUUUUUAUGUAUAUAUGUUCUAUCUAUUGUUG
Molecule: long non-coding RNA, 494 nt
Organism: Passer domesticus (house sparrow)
Lineage: Eukaryota; Metazoa; Chordata; Aves; Passeriformes; Passeridae
Exons: 3
Source: RefSeq, a predicted model, not a curated record